Molecule: long non-coding RNA, 685 nt
Filed under: Sinocyclocheilus grahami
Lineage: Eukaryota; Metazoa; Chordata; Actinopteri; Cypriniformes; Cyprinidae
Description: lncRNA (ENSSGRG00000026281.1)
Source: RNAcentral
UUGAAUUCUGGAUGUGUGUGCGGUAUUGAGGAGUUCAGUGCAUCGGAGAGGCACCAUUCUGACAGUGCCCUGGAUGGUGGAGUUCCUGUCCAUGCUGGAUUACAUCGGCCCAUUUCUUCCUUGUUACAGGACUGCUCUGUGCCUUCUGCUUCAAAUCUACAAGAGGAUGGUACUGGGUCGAGGAGAGGAGCUAUGUUACAUUAAUCAGCUGCUCAUAGUGGCAGUAUUGGGCUGGCUCUUCCAGAAAGAGGUCUGAGUUUGGUAAGCAGCAGCUGAACACGGGCUAAACAUGACUUAAUUAUUUCAAGGCAUGAUUUGAUAGUUUGUUUCAGCUUUUUUAAUGCAUUAUGACGUGUUAGUGGUUCAACGGAUCACAAAACUCACGGUUCGGAUCAUAUUAUGUUUUCUGAGUCACGGAUCGGAUAGUUUUUGUUGAAGUGUUCUGGAACAGUGUUGUAAAUACAACUUAACCACUGAUUUCUAGUCGUGUCCAUUUUUGGAAGGCCAAACAAAGUAGUUUCGCUUUCACAACGAAACAGCAUCACACACGGCGGCCUUGAGUAAGCAGAGGCCGGGGGCUAGAGUGAGGAACUGCCGAAGGACUAGAGUGAGCAGAGGCGGCGGGCUUGAGAACGGCGCGGCCGGUGAAUUCGUCGAAGGAGGCUUGCCACAUGUGACGACCCUG